UCAUAUGAUGAAACGGCACUGGGCUCCGAGAGUACCUUAGACAGUACUUAUCUCAUGAGCGAUAACGCCUUUUUGCGGCAGGCCUAGAAAACCUCGCCCACUGAUU
This 106-nucleotide small nucleolar RNA is filed under the name Thielaviopsis punctulata. RNAcentral describes it as "Ceratocystis radicicola A. fumigatus snoRNA Afu_513". It matches the Rfam family "A. fumigatus snoRNA Afu_513". Lineage: Eukaryota; Fungi; Ascomycota; Sordariomycetes; Microascales; Ceratocystidaceae. The record is from Rfam by way of RNAcentral.